AUGACUAAGAUUGAUGUGAGUUAUUAUAAAGAUCUAUUCAAGUGGGAGCCUAGACCUAACAUUACGUUGAAGGCUGAUUUUUUCACUGAAGGUGAGAAAGUUACUAUAGAGGAAAAUGCUAGAUUAGAGGCUAGAUUUACUGAAGAGGAGAUUAGGAAUGCUGUUUUUAGUUCCUACUCUGAUGGUGCUCCUGGACCUGAUGGUUUACCUUUUAUGUUUUAUCAGGAAUUCUGGGAUAUAGUUAAAGAUGAUUUGGUCAAGAUCUUUGAUGCUUGGUUUGAUGGUAAAUUAGAUAUCUUUGGGCUUAAUUUUGCUAUGAUUACUUUGAUUCCUAAGGAAAAUGAGGCUAGGACUAUGAAUAAGUUUAGACCUAUUAGUUUAUUAAACUGCCGUUUUAAGAUUUUCACUAAGGUAUUGACUAAUAGGUUGGCCCUCAUAAUUGGGAGACUGAUCUCUGAAGCUCAGUCUGCCUUUGUGAGGGGUAGAUUAAUUCUGGAAAGUGUAGUUACAACUCAUGAGAUAGUGAAUGUUGUACACUCUAUUGGUAGGAAAGGUUUGGUGUUUAAGAUUGAUUAUGAAAAAGCUUAUGAUAAAGUGAAUUUAGAUUUUCUUUAUGAAAUCCUAGCUCUUAGGGGUUUUGGGCCCAGGUGGCUGGGAUGGAUUAGAAGUCUGACUGAAAAUGGCCUGUGGGAGUCAAAUUAA
Molecule: ribosomal RNA, 702 nt
Filed under: Triticum aestivum (bread wheat)
Lineage: Eukaryota; Viridiplantae; Streptophyta; Magnoliopsida; Poales; Poaceae
Description: partial small subunit ribosomal RNA
Source: RNAcentral